ACGCUGGCGGCAUGCUUUACACAUGCAAGUCGGACGGCAGCACAGAGAAGCUUGCUUCUUGGGUGGCGAGUGGCGAACGGGUGAGUAACAUAUCGGAACGUACCGAGCAGUGGGGGAUAACUAAUCGAAAGAUUAGCUAAUACCGCAUAUAUUCUGAGGAAGAAAGCAGGGGACCAUUUGGCCUUGCGCUGUUUGAGCGGCCGAUAUCUGAUUAGCUAGUUGGUGGGGUAAAGGCCUACCAAGGCGACGAUCAGUAGCGGGUCUGAGAGGAUGAUCCGCCACACUGGGACUGAGACACGGCCCAGACUCCUACGGGAGGCAGCAGUGGGGAAUUUUGGACAAUGGGCGCAAGCCUGAUCCAGCCAUGCCGCGUGUCUGAAGAAGGCCUUCGGGUUGUAAAGGACUUUUGUCAGGGAAGAAAAGGGCGGGGUUAAUACCCCUGUCUGAUGACGGUACCUGAAGAAUAAGCACCGGCUAACUACGUGCCAGCAGCCGCGGUAAUACGUAGGGUGCGAGCGUUAAUCGGAAUUACUGGGCGUAAAGCGGGCGCAGACGGUUACUUAAGCAGGAUGUGAAAUCCCCGGGCUCAACCUGGGAACUGCGUUCUGAACUGGGUGACUAGAGUGUGUCAGAGGGAGGUAGAAUUCCACGUGUAGCAGUGAAAUGCGUAGAGAUGUGGAGGAAUACCGAUGGCGAAGGCAGCCUCCUGGGAUAACACUGACGUUCAUGCCCGAAAGCGUGGGUAGCAAACAGGAUUAGAUACCCUGGUAGUCCACGCCCUAAACGAUGUCAAUUAGCUGUUGGGCAGCAUGACUGCUUAGUAGCGAAGCUAACGCGUGAAAUUGACCGCCUUGGGGAGUACGGUCGCAAGAUUAAAACUCAAAGGAAUUGACGGGGACCCGCACAAGCGGUGG
This 914-nucleotide ribosomal RNA is filed under the name uncultured bacterium. RNAcentral describes it as "bacterial SSU rRNA". It matches the Rfam family "Bacterial small subunit ribosomal RNA", at positions 33 to 935 of the family's 1533-position model. The record is from RNAcentral.